This 607-nucleotide ribosomal RNA is filed under the name uncultured bacterium. RNAcentral's name for it is "bacterial SSU rRNA". It matches the Rfam family "Bacterial small subunit ribosomal RNA", at positions 338 to 944 of the family's 1533-position model. The record is from RNAcentral.
CCUACGGGAGGCAGCAGUAGGGAAUAUUGGGCAAUGGACGCAAGUCUGACCCAGCCAUGCCGCGUGCAGGAAGAAGGCGUUAUGCGUUGUAAACUGUUUUUAUACAGGAAGAAACGACUCUUGCGAGAGGCAUUGACGGUACUGUAUGAAUAAGCACCGGCUAACUCCGUGCCAGCAGCCGCGGUAAUACGGAGGGUGCAAGCGUUGUCCGGAUUUAUUGGGUUUAAAGGGUGCGCAGGUGGUUUAUUAAGUCAGUGGUGAAAGACGGUCGCUCAACGAUUGCAGUGCCAUUGAAACUGGUAGACUUGAGUAAAGUAGAGGUGGGCGGAAUUGAUAGUGUAGCGGUGAAAUGCAUAGAUAUUAUCAAGAACUCCAAUUGCGAAGGCAGCUCACUUGGCUUUUACUGACACUCAUGCACGAAAGUGUGGGUAUCAAACAGGAUUAGAUACCCUGGUAGUCCACACUGUAAACCGAUGAUAACUAGGUGUCGGCCGAAUCUGGUCGGUGCCACAGCGAAAGCGUUAAGUUAUCCACCUGGGGAGUCGCCGGNACGGUUGAAACUCGAAGGAUUGACGGCUUGNGAGNGCGAGCGACGACGAGGAGGAGG